GACGCCCUGGCCCGCAGUUGUCUUCCACCUCCGUUCGGUCUCCUGUUCACGCACGCCUCGCAUCAUAUCUCUCACAUCGGUCUCGCCCUAUUCACACCAAUCCUUCCAUGAUUUCUGCCUAUCUCGCACCCCAUCGCGACGCACUCGAUCUCCUCUGUCUAUUCCCUCUACUGGCCCCUCCACCCGUGCCCUGGCUCGAGGGAACCGAGCUCGAGGAGAUCCGCCACCGCGCCCGAUGCUGAAGUAGAAGGAGAGCAUCGACCUCAACCCGAAGUAGCAACCUGCAACCGUGACUUGAGCCGCUCGUCGUCGUUGCUACAGGACGCGCCGAAGCACCACUAGGACGCCCUCGGAUACACUGCUUGCCACUGCACCUUCCUUUGCACUUAUUCGAGUCAUAACACAAUCAGGAGUGUCGCCACGCUCGAAACCGAAGCCGCCGUCAUCGAUGGCAAGGAAAAUUCCCUCCGCCCGAACAGAAAACCGCCGCCCGAGCCUCCUACCACGGCCAAGUUUGGCGACAGUAAGCCACACCCCUGCCCCUCUGUUCGUCUACAGAAUCGCCUUGUUGUCCCGCCUCUCCCUGGCCAUCUUCCCCCUUCGCAGACGCAAGGAUCUGGGCUCCCCAAGGUCGCCAGAUCUUGCAGGAGGGCCACCGUCGCAGUUGCACGUCCCCGGAGCACACCAGAGCACCACCCGCGUUUCCCCGCUGCACCAGGACUCCCCGACGUCGAUGUGGGCACCAUAGUCGUCGCCCUGAUCCGGUGGUUCCGCUCGUGACCUCAACAAGCCUCGCCGACCACGGGAGCCGACUGUACCUUCAUCAGAGCAGCCGCCGCCAUUUUCCCCUGCUGAUUACUCGGAGCGUGACGAGUAGAAUUAUCAGGAAUUGUGAGUGCGAAGAACUUCAUCAAACGUAUAAGG
Molecule: non-coding RNA, 924 nt
Organism: Aegilops tauschii subsp. strangulata
Lineage: Eukaryota; Viridiplantae; Streptophyta; Magnoliopsida; Poales; Poaceae
Source: RefSeq, a predicted model, not a curated record